UUGUCGAAACCUGCCUAGCAGAACGACCCGAGAACUAGUUUCAAAGCGGGGGACGAGGGGCCGUCUCGGCGUGCUCCUCGUCCCUUUAUCCCGGGGGGGUUCAUACCCUUCCGGGCGUACAAACGAACACCGGCGCGAAUUGCGCCAAGGAACUUGAACGAGAGAGCGCGUCCCCGUCGCCCCGGAAACGGCGUGCGCGGGCGGCGUCGUCAUCUUCAAAUAUGUCAAAACGACUCUCGGCAACGGAUAUCUCGGCUCUCGCAUCGAUGAAGAACGUAKCGAAAUGCGAUACUUGGUGUGAAUUGCAGAAUCCCGUGAACCAUCGAGUCUUUGAACGCAAGUUGCGCCCGAAGCCAUUAGGCCGAGGGCACGCCUGCCUGGGCGUCACACGUCGUUGCCCCCCCCAUCUACUCCUUCGGGAUUGCGGGGGGCGGAUGAUGGCCUCCCGUGCGCCUCGUCGCGCGGUUGGCAUAAAURCCAAGUCCUCGGCGACGCACGCCACGACAAUCGGUGGUUGCGAAACCUCGGUUGCCCGUCGUGCGCGGUCG
RNAcentral lists this ribosomal RNA (548 nucleotides) under Prunus mume (Japanese apricot). RNAcentral's name for it is "eukaryotic LSU rRNA". The stretch from base 232 to 387 matches the Rfam family "5.8S ribosomal RNA". The record is from RNAcentral. Lineage: Eukaryota; Viridiplantae; Streptophyta; Magnoliopsida; Rosales; Rosaceae.